AAGCCUCUUGCUCAUUAAGCAAAGGCCCUCCAAGUCUCCUUUUUACUUCAGCACUUUGGAAACUCUCCAAGACUUAACUUCCGAUCUGGGGAGGUUCUACGUGGAGCAGACCUAUCCUUCUUAUUCCUGUUCCUGGGUGUCUCCAUAAUCAGCCUCUACCUUCCCUGGCAUAAGUCAUAUCUGUUAUGCUGCAGGAACUGAGUAACCAAAGCUAGAUAUCCCUUGGACCACUGAUUAGUGACACAUUUUCUCCACAACAAAGGGAGGCUAAAGACAAAGGUUUAACCUGAGAAACUUUUUUUUUGGCAAGAUAAUAAAGAGGUUAAAGAGGCUACGUGGAUCUGUCACUGCUUUAGCUUACCAUUUUCAAUUCAGCACCAAAGUGCUCAGGAAGACAGGCUCAGAUCAGGACGACUUCUUAAAGGGAUUCACAGGCAAUAUUACUGACAAAAUGAUUUUCCAAAGCUGAGCCACGCGCCCCACCCUACAGGGAGGGGAGUAGAAUCUUACGGCCCAGCAUUGGCAUUGAGGCAUCUUGCUUUUUUUCCUCAGAAUUCCACAAAGGCUUAAGAGUGAUCUAAAUGCCUGGCUGGAAGCUCAAGUCUAGGAGAGCUAUUUUACUGCACUGUUGAGAUGUUCUCUGCAAGGUGAUAUCCCAAGUGACACAGAAACACAGCUCCUCCGGAUGGUGAAGUCUCCGCUGCAAAACUCACGAAACAGCACAGAGGAUGACUCUAGGGUGCUCUCCCACUUGCUCCAAGUUAGGCAGGUGCCCUGGUGGAGGCAAGGCUGAGCCAUUAACAUGCACAGCUCCAUAUCCUGGAAGCCUCUGUAGCCUUGAGGAGAUAGGCUCUAUCCAACAGGACUCAGAAUAAAUGACUGCCACCUCAACUGAGCAGUAUGAACUGCCCACCUCAACUGGGCAGUCUGACCUCUUCCAUAGUCUUUAAGAAACAGAAGAGCCAUUUGCAUUAUUUAAUCACCAUUCAAUAAUCUCCUCCCUCCCCAUAGCUGCUUGAGUUAACUGUCCCACAAGUGUCCUGUGGUUUGUAAAGAUGAGGGUUAUUUUCUGAAAUGCAGAUGGGACUAGGAUGAAGCUGUAUUAUCAAUUACAGCCAACUCUCAUUUCUCUUAAAGCAAAAAUUCAUUCCACUGUGAUUUCUCCAGGUAUUUCCUGCAAUUCUAAAUCCACCCUUGAUAUUAGAGAAUAUUAAAAUCACACA
This 1223-nucleotide non-coding RNA is filed under the name Pan troglodytes (chimpanzee). The record is from RNAcentral. Lineage: Eukaryota; Metazoa; Chordata; Mammalia; Primates; Hominidae.